GACGAACGCUGGCGGCGUGCUUAACACAUGCAAGUCGAACGGCAAGGCCCUGCUUUUGUGGGGUGCUCGAGUGGCGAACGGGUGAGUAACACGUGAGUAACCUGCCCUUGACUUUGGGAUAACUUCAGGAAACUGGGGCUACUACCGGAUAGGAGCUCCUGCUGCAUGGAGGGCGUUGGAAAGUUUCGGCGGUUGGGGAUGGACUCGCGGGUUAUCAGCUUGUUGGUGGGGUAGUGGUUUACCAAGGCUUUGACGGGUACCCGGCCUGGGAGGGUGACCGGCCACAUGGGGACUGAGAUACGGCCCAGACUCCUACGGGAGGCAGCAGUGGGGAAUAUUGCACAAUGGGCGGGAGCCUGAUGCAGCAACGCCGCGUGCGGGAUGACGGCCUUCGGGUUGUAAACCGCUUUCGCCUGUGACGAAGCGUGAGUGACGGUAAUGGGUAAAGAAGCACCGGCUAACUACGUG
RNAcentral lists this ribosomal RNA (468 nucleotides) under uncultured bacterium. Its description in RNAcentral is "partial 16S ribosomal RNA". It matches the Rfam family "Bacterial small subunit ribosomal RNA", at positions 28 to 507 of the family's 1533-position model. The record is from RNAcentral.